CAAGAUAUGUCUCGUUGGUGACCAGCGGAGGGUCAUUACCGAGUUUACAACUCCCAAACCCCUGUGAACAUACCUUAUGUUGCCUCGGCGGAUCAGCCCGCGCCCCGUAAAAAGGGACGGCCCGCCGCAGGAACCCUAAACUCUGUUUUUAGUGGAACUUCUGAGUAUAAAAAACAAAUAAAUCAAAACUUUCAACAACGGAUCUCUUGGUUCUGGCAUCGAUGAAGAACGCAGCAAAAUGCGAUAAGUAAUGUGAAUUGCAGAAUUCAGUGAAUCAUCGAAUCUUUGAACGCACAUUGCGCCCGCCAGUAUUCUGGCGGGCAUGCCUGUUCGAGCGUCAUUUCAACCCUCAAGCCCAGCUUGGUGUUGGGAGCUGCAGUCCUGCUGCACUCCCCAAAUACAUUGGCGGUCACGUCGAGCUUCCAUAGCGUAGUAAUUUACACAUCGUUACUGGUAAUCGUCGCGGCCACGCCGUUAAACCCCAACUUCUGAAUGUUGACCUCGGAUCAGGUAGGAAUACCCGCUGAACUUAAGCAUAUCAAA
Molecule: ribosomal RNA, 543 nt
Filed under: Fusarium graminearum
Lineage: Eukaryota; Fungi; Ascomycota; Sordariomycetes; Hypocreales; Nectriaceae
Description: eukaryotic LSU rRNA
Rfam family: 5.8S ribosomal RNA (bases 187-340)
Source: RNAcentral